This 29-nucleotide non-coding RNA is filed under the name Homo sapiens (human). Lineage: Eukaryota; Metazoa; Chordata; Mammalia; Primates; Hominidae. The record is from RNAcentral.
AGAGCAGUGAGGCCUAGUCAGUGAGGUGU